UUGGUGCCUCGCUUAGGCUCGGCAUGCCCGAACGCAGGCAUUGCGCAGUGGGCAACCCGGCAUGGAUGCCGGGUUAGCCGCGCUGGGCCAUGGAUGGCCCUUCGCGGCGGCCCACGGAGCAAUGCCUUCGUUCAGGCACACCGAGCCUAGGCGAGGUGCCGA
Molecule: non-coding RNA, 162 nt
Organism: Pseudomonas fluorescens
Lineage: Bacteria; Pseudomonadati; Pseudomonadota; Gammaproteobacteria; Pseudomonadales; Pseudomonadaceae
Source: Rfam